RNAcentral lists this ribosomal RNA (981 nucleotides) under Flavobacterium sp. SL2-8. RNAcentral describes it as "bacterial SSU rRNA". It matches the Rfam family "Bacterial small subunit ribosomal RNA", at positions 56 to 1044 of the family's 1533-position model. The record is from RNAcentral. Lineage: Bacteria; Pseudomonadati; Bacteroidota; Flavobacteriia; Flavobacteriales; Flavobacteriaceae.
UGCAAGUCGAGGGGUAUAGGUAGCUUGCUAUUUAGAGACCGGCGCACGGGUGCGUAACGCGUAUGCAAUCUACCUUUUACAGGGGGAUAGCCCAGAGAAAUUUGGAUUAAUACCCCAUGGUAUUAUAGGAUGGCAUCAUUUUAUAAUUAAAGUCACAACGGUAAAAGAUGAGCAUGCGUCCCAUUAGCUAGUUGGUAAGGUAACGGCUUACCAAGGCAACGAUGGGUAGGGGUCCUGAGAGGGAGAUCCCCCACACUGGUACUGAGACACGGACCAGACUCCUACGGGAGGCAGCAGUGAGGAAUAUUGGACAAUGGGCGCAAGCCUGAUCCAGCCAUGCCGCGUGCAGGAUGACGGUCCUAUGGAUUGUAAACUGCUUUUGUACAGGAAGAAACCCUUUCACGUGUGAAAGAUUGACGGUACUGUAAGAAUAAGGAUCGGCUAACUCCGUGCCAGCAGCCGCGGUAAUACGGAGGAUCCAAGCGUUAUCCGGAAUCAUUGGGUUUAAAGGGUCCGUAGGCGGUCUAGUAAGUCAGUGGUGAAAGCCCAUCGCUCAACGGUGGAACGGCCAUUGAUACUGCUAGACUUGAAUUACUAGGAAGCAACUAGAAUAUGUAGUGUAGCGGUGAAAUGCUUAGAUAUUACAUGGAAUACCAAUUGCGAAGGCAGGUUGCUACUAGUUUAUUGACGCUGAUGGACGAAAGCGUGGGUAGCGAACAGGAUUAGAUACCCUGGUAGUCCACGCCGUAAACGAUGGAUACUAGCUGUUGGGCGUAAGUUCAGUGGCUAAGCGAAAGUGAUAAGUAUCCCACCUGGGGAGUACGAACGCAAGUUUGAAACUCAAAGGAAUUGACGGGGGCCCGCACAAGCGGUGGAGCAUGUGGUUUAAUUCGAUGAUACGCGAGGAACCUUACCAAGGCUUAAAUGUAGAUUGACCGGUUUGGAAACAGACUUUUCGCAAGACAAUUUACAAGGUGCUGC